Molecule: long non-coding RNA, 789 nt
Organism: Coffea arabica (coffee)
Lineage: Eukaryota; Viridiplantae; Streptophyta; Magnoliopsida; Gentianales; Rubiaceae
Source: RefSeq, a predicted model, not a curated record
UUUUGCCGCCUUCAUUCUUUUAUUUCAGUUCCCUUUCGGUAGCCCUCGAGUUUAUCAGUUCACAAAUCAACCUCUUUUGCCCCGCAGACCGCAAUUUUUCAUUAUGGCCGGAGUCGUGAAGAAGCUGCUUCAGAAGCUACCAGAUCAAAGAAUCAUCACAUGUCUCAACCAUCAAAAGCCGUUAACUCCUUUGUUUCCAACAACUAUCCAGCAAACCUUACUCGACCCUCAUUCUUUCGUACAAAAUCCCAGUUCAAAUUGUUCAGCCGUGGAGAAAUUUGCCCACAAAAAUGACUUUCACAUUUAUCCCAGUUUUUCAUUUGGGUAUUUUUUGUAUCCAAUCUUCUCAUCUGGGCUAAAGUUAGAUCAGUCUCAAUCACUUGAAGCAAAAAAUUUGGACUUGGAUGAGUCAAGACUCAUGUGGGCUGACAGUGUCAAGAAGAAGAGAAAGAGGAAGAUGAACAAGCAUAAGUUGAGGAAACUUCGCAAACGCCUUCGAGGCUAUUCAUGAACAAGGUUGCUUUCAGAAUUGGGAUGAGGAGCCUCAGACGAGUAGUGAAGUGCUUCUCCCCUCCCCUUCCCCCUCCCCCACAAGAAUAUAUACUCUUAGCAAUUAGAAACUUUUAAAAGGCUUGUGCACUUUGUGGCUGUUAUGAUUGUCCUCUUGUUCCCAGGCAAGAAAACAAUUCUAGGCAGCAAGUUGUGCAAGAGCAAGUUGGCAACUUGGAAGCGUGCAGCUGCAAAACAAAGCAAUUUUUUUAAUCGUAAGGGGCUGAAACUUUUCUUUUU